AGGCGGGGCCCGGGGCGGCGGGCGCGGGCAGCGAGUGAGCCCCAGACAACCUCAUCCCCCUGGACCUGACGGAGAUGCACAGCUGCCCUGUCCAUCACCCGGCCGCCAGGACACCCACCUGUCCCCUCACUUGGAUAAAUGUCUCGUUUUGGA
Non-coding RNA from Peromyscus maniculatus bairdii (prairie deer mouse), 153 nucleotides. NCBI's taxonomy places the organism in Eukaryota, Metazoa, Chordata, Mammalia, Rodentia, Cricetidae. The record is from RefSeq and is a predicted model, not a curated record.